GAAAGAUAAAUGCACUCGUCCAAACCAGAUCAAACCCAACAAGAAACGAUAUGGAAUAAGCCUCAAUCAACUCGAACGGUAUCGUAUUCCAAGUGUCGACCUUUUCUUUUUUUUUUUUUUUUUUUU
RNAcentral lists this non-coding RNA (126 nucleotides) under Compsopogon caeruleus. The record is from RNAcentral. Lineage: Eukaryota; Rhodophyta; Compsopogonophyceae; Compsopogonales; Compsopogonaceae.